AGUGAACGCUGGCGGUAGGCCUAACACAUGCAAGUCGAACGGCAGCACAGUAAGAGCUUGCUCUUACGGGUGGCGAGUGGCGGACGGGUGAGGAAUACAUCGGAAUCUACUUUUUCGUGGGGGAUAACGUAGGGAAACUUACGCUAAUACCGCAUACGACCUACGGGUGAAAGCAGGGGAUCUUCGGACCUUGCGCGAUUGAAUGAGCCGAUGUCGGAUUAGCUAGUUGGCGGGGUAAAGGCCCACCAAGUCGACGAUCCGUAGCUGGUCUGAGAGGAUGGUCAGCCACACUGGAACUUGGACACGGUCCAGACUCCUACGGGAGGCAGCAGUGGGGAAUAUUGGACAAUGGGCGCAAGCCUGGUCCAGCCAUACCGCGUGGGUGAAGAAGGCCUUCGGGUUGUAAAGCCCUUUUGUUGGGAAAGAAAAGCAGCAGGUUAAUACCACGCUGUUCUGACGGUACCCAAAGAAUAAGCACCGGCUAACUACGUG
This 492-nucleotide ribosomal RNA is filed under the name uncultured bacterium. Its description in RNAcentral is "partial 16S ribosomal RNA". It matches the Rfam family "Bacterial small subunit ribosomal RNA", at positions 29 to 507 of the family's 1533-position model. The record is from RNAcentral.